UGGCGGCAUGGAUUAGGCAUGCAAGUCGAACGCUCAUCUUCGGAUGGGAGUGGCGGAAGGGUGAGGAACACGUGAAUAAUCUGCCCCCAAGUUGGGAAUAACUUGCCGAAAGGUAAGCUAAUACCGAAUGUGGUUGUUUUUCCGCAUGGAAAAACAACUAAAGAUUUAUUGCUUGGGGAUGAGUUCGCGUCCCAUUAGCUAGUUGGUAGGGUAAUGGCUCUACCAGAGGCCCGAAGAUGGGUAGCUGNUCUGAGGAGGAUGAUCAACCACACUGGGACUGAGAACACUGGGCCCAGUCUCCUACGGGAGGCUGCAGUCGAGAAUCUUUUGCAAUGCGCGAAAGCGUGACAAANCAAUGCCGCGUNCCGGAUGAAGGUCUUCGGAUUGUAANCGNCUGUCACCCGUGNCGAAAAAUGACGGUAACGGGAGAGGAAGCCACGGCUAACUACGU
Molecule: ribosomal RNA, 451 nt
Filed under: uncultured bacterium
Lineage: Bacteria
Description: bacterial SSU rRNA
Rfam family: Bacterial small subunit ribosomal RNA
Source: RNAcentral